Molecule: long non-coding RNA, 1361 nt
Organism: Poecilia latipinna (sailfin molly)
Lineage: Eukaryota; Metazoa; Chordata; Actinopteri; Cyprinodontiformes; Poeciliidae
Exons: 2
Source: RefSeq, a predicted model, not a curated record
CAUGUUCAUGACAGGUGUUAUGUCAUGUUUAUGACAGUGUCAUGACAGUCUUAUUCACCCCCCUUCAAAUAAAGUGUUACCUUUUUGGAGACAUGUUCUGUUCUCUGAUCCAACUGUGUCCAAGUGUUUUGCCAUUGUUACAUUCUCUUGGAAACCUGAGAACAGCAUCCCAAAAUAGUGCCAGCUCUAUGUUGAGCUUUACAUUUCUCAAUACUCGACUAAAAGCCAGUCAAAAAAAAUACUGUGACUGUUUAGUUUAGCAUCUUCUAGUCACAAAGAUGUGAAAGAUGGGCUGAGCUCAGGCACAUCCCGAAAAAUAACAACGUGAGGGAACAAUAUGAUGAGGAAUUAUUAAAGUGACUUCUCAAACAUCAGCCCAAAAGUUUAAGCUUUGGGCAAAUAGAGCAAAAUCCUUACAUGGGACAACAAAGUUGUGAUAAUCACAAAGCUCUAAUCUCAACUGAUGAUGGAUUAUUUCCUUUUCUGUUCCUCAAAAAGGGGGAGAUGUUGUGUACAGUUAUCUUUAUGUGUAACAUAUUAACCAAUGUGUAUGUGGAAGUUGUGAUGUGAAGUAAAGUACACGUUAACCUCACCUGCCUCAUUCUUGUCAUACUAACAAAACAGAUUCUACUAGCGUUGACCCUGUAUAUAAAUGUAGGAGUUUGCCUUAUAACCUGUGGGAGGGACGACACAGGAGUGACCCCUGCUCUGUCCUUCUCAGUCAUGUGUCCUUGGAUAAGACUUUCCUCGUCUACUUGUAGUGUCCUCUCGCACAUUUUGGAGAAUUGCAAGGCACAAGCCCAACCUGAGUUGUGCCUGAAGCUGGGAUUGAGAUUGGGCCUGGGCAUAAAACCAACCCGGCUGGUUUGGAGUCCUUCUCAGCUGUAUGGAAAUAAAUGAUUUCAACUGUUUGUGUCUCUAGAGAGCUCUGGUACUUUGGGAUUUCUGAACAAUUCUGUCUUGCUUGACCUUCUAUGCUAAUUUUGUGUGGCACAAAGAGGAAUAUCAAGCUAUUUUGAAAGCAUUCUAAAAACAGAGUGAAAAAAUGAAUAUCUACCUCAUUUCUGUACAUCAGAUAAAGAUUUUAGAGUCCUUAAAAUCUUGAUAUCUUACCUCUUGGUUAUGUCUUACUGAUUGCUAUUAGUGAUCAUCUAAUUUUCUUAAACCUGAUCAUUUCUUUGUUAAAUCAUUUUUGUGGCAUUGUGCACAAAUACUAAAUACCAAAUUCUAUCAAAUAUUAGAAGAGGAAACACUCUCCACUUCAGUUGGUCACUAUGACAUGAAUCUACAUCUGUGUUAGCUUCUUUGUUGCUCAAUGCCAGGUUAACUGACAUGCUGUUUUUUCACAUUGUGAAUGUACC